Molecule: long non-coding RNA, 1294 nt
Organism: Numida meleagris (helmeted guineafowl)
Lineage: Eukaryota; Metazoa; Chordata; Aves; Galliformes; Numididae
Exons: 2
Source: RefSeq, a predicted model, not a curated record
CGGGGAAGAAGGGGCUCCGCGGCCCUUGGGACCGUUAGGGCGGCGCGUCGCGGGGCUGUGGCUCCCCGUCAGCUCAGGCUCUGGAGGCGGGGGGAGGGGGCAGCGGAUGGGCCCUGGGGUGAUGCCGGCCGGGGAGUUUUCCCGGGUGAAUUUAGAAAACAAACAACGCUUGAAAAGUGCUUCCUAAAUGUGGGUGGAUUCUCAGUGCACAUCAUAGGAGGGAAUCAGGUGCGAUAUUAAGAAUACUUAUUUGCUGAAGCAUGUUAAAACACCUCAGGAUUGGGAGAAGCUUCUAAGAAAAUCUGUCAGCCUUUAAGUGGGGUUGGCAGAAGUGAUUAUUUAACGGUUUAAGUAAUUGCUUUUUUGCUUCAAUUGCUUUUUCUGUUGAUUUCAUUAAGUCUUUGGAAACUGUUGCACUGGUUUCACUGCUGUGGUAAAAUAAAGAUGACGUAAGGUGCGGGAGCAAGCUCUCUUGAACAGUCUGUUCUGCAUGUUGUAAGUGCAACAGAUGUAAUUAAAAAUAAUACACGGGCAUCUCUUCUCUGUUUAAAAAAUAAUGGCACUAGCAAUUCAAGAUCAUUGUAUCGUAUCUCUUCAUUCAGAAAGGAGAAGCAGCCAAUUGUGGGACUGUUCUUGGAUUUCUUAAAACACAUUACACAAUCAGCUGGGAUCCUCCCUUUAAUUAUAUAUUUGGGAAUGGAUUUUGUAAUGAAAAUCAGGUUAGCAACAGUAAAUACCCAUUUCAAACACUUUCAUUAUUUUCUUACUAUAGUCUUGAUGUCCCAUAGAUUAGAAGAGUGUUUUUGAGUUGCAUCUCCAAUGUAGUAGGCACAAAGUCUCAAAAAAUCCAAGUGCUACUCCCAGUGGUGAUAGCAGUGUAAAUUCUGACGUAUUCUUUGUGUUGAAUUCACAGCUUUGGUGUAUUCACCAUAGAAAACAACACACAGCUUGUUCUAACUUUUUAUAGUUCUAACGUUUUAUUAAACUAUUUAAAAAGAAGAGAGAAUGUGUACCUCCGUUGCUUGAUCUGGGCUUCACUUGGGGGCACUGGGCGCAUUGAAAGCGCCAUCCUCUUGGUGCACUUAAAUUUCUUUAAGAUCAGUCCAGUAGCCUGCUGCAAAAUAAGGGUUUUUCUGAUCGAGCAAAUCUAGACGGGGGCUGCAGUCCACUCAUAAGUGAUGCAAGCAGCACUAUGGCUCAUGUGCCAAAUUUUAGUCUUUGCUGUACUGCCCAUUGGAAGAUCAAUUGCUGUCACAGGGUUCUUUUUUUUUUUUAAAAAAAAAAAAAAAAAAAA